Parus major (Great Tit) is the source of this 2432-nucleotide long non-coding RNA. RefSeq lists it as uncharacterized. NCBI's taxonomy places the organism in Eukaryota, Metazoa, Chordata, Aves, Passeriformes, Paridae. The record is from RefSeq and is a predicted model, not a curated record. The transcript has 4 exons.
AGAAAUAAACAAACAAAAAAACCCCAAAAAAUCACUCAGUUCUGAGCAACUUCUUAGUAUAGAAGGUCUGAGGAAUUAUCCAAAUGGAUGGCUUAGAAACAUUAAAGCAGAUAAAUAUUUCUUAAAUCAGGAGAAACAAGAAUCACUCAGGGAAAUAUUUCCCCUGGCAGUGGGCUUUCUAAAGGGUUUCUGUCCUUGUAUUUUACCUUGUCUUCAUUCACUUAAAAGGUGUUUUCUCCCCUGUGCUGCUGGGGUAUUCCUGGAAGUGAGGAGUGUGUCUUAAACUCAGAUUAGGCUGAACUCAAAUGACACUGUAAUAUAACAAAUUGUAAUGAAUAAUGUGAAUUUCAUUGAAUAGAAAUCCAGCUGAAUUAAAAUUGUGUAUGAAUGAAAUGGGGGGUUUUGCUUUCUGUGCUUGCCCAUAAAAUAUCAUUCUUUAUGUAAUUCUUUCGCUUUUAAAAAAUUCAAAUUGUCUUUUAAAUCUAUGACACAGAUUCAGAAUGAAUGUAAGGAGGUACUACUAAACCAUUUUGUAUCAAUUUCCUUCACUUUACCCUGCAUUUAAUAAUGAGGACUUCUGACAGUCCAGACAUUUGUUCUGUUCUCUUGCAAGAAGCAGCAAAAGCUUCUUGUGAAUCCCAGGUUCUGCUGUCUCAGAUGUGCUUUUUUUUUCUGCUGGGAUGUGUCAAAUGGCAAAGAACCUAAUUCUGAUUCACAGACAUUCACAUUUAAUUAAUUUCAGUAAUUUAUAAUGUUUAAUUAAUGACUUGCACUGCCAGCUUUAUAAACUGGAUUUCUUUUAUCAGUAAAAGGGAAUAUUUUUAAAAACUGAAAAUUCCUGCACUGAAAAUGAAAAAAAUACCCAUCUACUAAAGAAUUUUAAAACAUGUAAAUUUUAAACAUUAAUUUUAAUCUAAGCAGCAUGGCUGUACUUGGGUGAGCAGUUCAAAACAGAGAAUUUGAAGAUUAUAAUGUGUGCAUUUGGGAGGAGGCAAUGUGUGUAUAUACUUGAUUCUUUUGGUAAAUAUACAAAGCAAAGGCUUUUGAAAUGAAUUUUGGUCAUUUGCAGACAGCCUCUCACCUGUGUCCUGUAGAGCUAAUGCAGCCUUCCACUGCUGUGCAUCCCACAGUUCCAACCUCCUGCCCAUCCUAAAACACUCAGUGGGAUCACUCUGAUGUCUGGAUGUCACAUGGAGCACCUUGGAAAGGACAAGCCUCAGGAGGAACAGUUAAUGUCCUACAUCACACUGGGAAAACAUAUUGAAACCAGCAGUUCAGGCUGAUGAGGCACAGCCACUAGAAGAAAGACAAUGGGAAGUGCAGAGCUACAUAGAAAUAGCCAGAAAAGGUAUCAUCUUUGCAUUUUUCAGCUUCUAUUAUUUCCAGCAGUGCAUAGUUUAAAGAACUUGUUUAGUCUGCUGCAAUCAGAUUUAUUGUUGCCACAUGAAUGAUGAUGGUUGUACAGUUUUUUACCCUUUCAUUACAUUGUUUUGGAGAGAAAAUGCAAGACCCUCAUUUACCUUUGACUGACUUUUAAGUCACAUCUGAAUUUGCCUCAAGGAGAAAUCCAUGGCAACUCAAAGUCUGAUUUUUUAGAAACAUGAAAAUAAAGUUCAGUAAAAAAUUACAUCAUUGGUGUUACAUCACUCUGGUGACUUUUUAAAUCUUUCUAAUUCUUCCAUUUUUUAGGGCAGGAAUCUUGGUUGCUCGGGGUUGGAGGUUUAUACGGCUAUAGCUCUAGGUAUUUUCUAGAAGCAUAAGUAAAUAUAAUAACAUGCACAGUGUAAACAUACCUCAUCAUUAUUCUUCUUUGUGCUUAUUUGAAAGUCAGCAUUAAGCAAAAACAUUCUGGGUGAUCUUAUUCCUUUGUUUCCUGAUUAAAAAUCACAAUGUCCAUUCUGCACACAAGGUCAAUGUCACAAAAUAAAAGUUACCCCAAAACUGAGAAGACCUUGAAGCUGUCCCAGGUGGAAUGGGAAGUUCCUGUGUGUUUUGUUUGUGUUUUGACAGCAGCCUGCACAUCUGGAGCUGUUCCAGCCAGACCAGGAGUGUGUGACCCCAGUGCCCAUUUUGGGCUGAACUCUCCUGUUUAUUCCUAUAACCCCACAGGCACCACAGCCACUGAAACAGAGCAGAUUCUUCCCAAAGGAGGGAAACCAACCUUUCAAAGACCUCUCUUUGCAACUUCUCCCUAAUCCUUUGUGCUUCUCUGUGCUUAUUUAAGAAUUGAUACUGAGGCCCAAAAGCUGCUGGAGGGAAUAGAAGCAGAAGAAGCAUGAAAUGACAAACUGCAGAAUUAGAAAUUCAAGAUCAGACAAAUUCUGGACCCUGGAGCCAAGGGAAAGGUUUGAUUGGAAGCAGAUGUGUCCUGCAGGUCAGCACCUGGCUGAAGAGCAGGUGCAAUUUAGGUUCCCACAGCCACUCUAAGGAUG